Molecule: ribosomal RNA, 393 nt
Filed under: uncultured bacterium
Lineage: Bacteria
Description: partial 16S ribosomal RNA
Rfam family: Bacterial small subunit ribosomal RNA
Source: RNAcentral
AUACGGAGGACGCGAGCGUUAUCCGGAUUCAUUGGGUUUAAAGGGUGCGCAGGCGGCCGUGCAAGUCAGCGGUGAAAGCCCGGGGCUCAACCCCGGAAGUGCCGUUGAUACUGCGUGGCUGGAAUGCGGUCGAGGCGGGCGGGACGUGGGGUGUAGCGGGGAAAUGCGUAGAUAUGCCACAGAACGCCGAUAGCGGAGGCAGCUCGCCAGGUCUGCAUUGACGCUCGGGCACGAAAGCGUGGGGAUCGAACAGGAUUAGAUACCCUGGUAGUCCGCGCCGUAAACGAUGGGCGCUCGUCGUCGGCGACAGACAGUCGGCGGCCAAGCGAAAGCGAUAAGCGCCCCACCUGGGGAGUACGGUCGCAAGGCUGAAACUCAAAUGAAUUGACGGGG